RNAcentral lists this ribosomal RNA (968 nucleotides) under Chaetoceros cf. wighamii. RNAcentral's name for it is "eukaryotic LSU rRNA". It matches the Rfam family "Eukaryotic large subunit ribosomal RNA", at positions 81 to 1148 of the family's 3401-position model. Lineage: Eukaryota; Bacillariophyta; Thalassiosirophyceae; Chaetocerotales; Chaetocerotaceae. The record is from RNAcentral.
CAGUAAGGGCGACUGAAGCGGGAAGAGCUCAGCUUGUGAAUCUGUACAGACUUGUCUGUGCCGAAUUGUAGUCUAAAGAAGCAACGUAUGUAAUUAUUUCAGACCAAGUCCUCUGGAAAGAGGCGGCUGAGAAGGUGAGACCCCUGUUCUUGUCUGAAAUAAAUGCAAUAUUCUUGCAUUCAAUGAGUCGAGUUGUUUGGGAUUGCAGCUCAAAGUGGGUGGUAAAUUCCAUCUAAAGCUAAAUAUUGGUAGGAGACCGAUAGCGAACAAGUACCGUGAGGGAAAGAUGAAAAGAACUUUGAAAAGAGAGUUAAAGAGUACCUGAAAUUGCUGAAAUGGAAGCAAAGGAAACCAGUGUUAUCUUGGCUCAUUCUUCCUAUGCUGCUUGCAACAUGGGCGCUGUGAUCUUUGAUAGGCCAACCUGGGCUUAAUUCGAGGUAAUCAACCUUGGAUUGGACUUACGUUGGCGAAAUGGUUUUCUUUACCCCGUCUUGAAACACGGACCAAGGAGUCUAACAUAUGUGCGAGUAUAGGAGUGACAAACUCCCAUGCGUAAUGAAAGUAACAGUGGUAUUCAAUAUCCGCCGGCCACAAUUCUUCGGAAGAAAGGUCUGAGUGUGAGCAUACAUGUUGGGACCCGAAAGAUGGUGAACUAUGCCUGAAUAGGGUGAAGCCAGGGGAAACUCUGGUGGAGGCUCGUAUGCGGUUCUGACGUGCAAAUCGAUCGUCAAAUUUGGGUAUAGGGGCGAAAGACUAAUCGAACCAUCUAGUAGCUGGUUCCCUCCGAAAUUUCCCUCAGGAUAGCUGCAAUCAAAGUAUCUUUAUCAGGUAAAGCGAAUGGUUAGAGGACUUGGGUGCGUAAUGCACUCAGCCUAUUCUCAAACUUUAAAUGGGUAAGAAGUCGGAGUUGCUUAAUUGAACUCUGUGCUUGAGUACUGGUUGUUAGUGGGCCACACCGGGUAAGCAGA